This 695-nucleotide long non-coding RNA is filed under the name Olea europaea subsp. europaea. Lineage: Eukaryota; Viridiplantae; Streptophyta; Magnoliopsida; Lamiales; Oleaceae. The record is from RNAcentral.
AAAGAAUUACCAGAUGGAGGACAGCUGCUCGACCGGUGCUACUUCAGGUGCCUUCUUCUCUUGGCUCAUGCUCUUCCUCUUCUUCUUUUCGUGCUUUUCAUACGUUGCCUUUAUAAGGUCCAAACCACCAAGAUUGCAUCAUCAGAUUAGGUACACUUGGCCGGGAAUUUAGCAGGUCUAUUGAUUGAGAUUAAUCAUAUUCCCGGGAUGUGUUGACAUUUCCGUUCUGUUACUUCUAGUCAUUGAUGUUUACUAUUAAGCUGUUCCAUUGCAGAAUCAAACAAACCAGUGUCUGAAUUGGCAAAACUGCAGGAACUACAUGAGGAGAAAAUAUCAAAGAUUAAAGAGCUUAAAAAACAAAAAGAAGAACUGAAGACUCUAUUAGAGAAGAAGCUGACAGAGGAAACAAAGCCAUUCGACAAUUUGUGUGACACAUAUAACAAUCUUAGAGAUGAGUACAAUGCACUAUUGGCACAAGGAUCAGAGGAAAAAGAGUCGUAAUAACGAUAUUUCGAGUCGAAAAUUUGUAUAUGAACUUGGCUGUGCAAUUAUGUACUAGAUUAAUAUUAUGGUUACCUAUGAAUUUCCUAGUAUUUCUAUGUAUUUCGUAUGGGAAACUUUUACUUCUAGUCCCCAACUUUUAGUGCUCCUGCUGAUUUUAGUCCCCACCUUUCAAAAUUGGAAUUUUCACAUGC